RNAcentral lists this ribosomal RNA (465 nucleotides) under uncultured bacterium. RNAcentral's name for it is "partial 16S ribosomal RNA". It matches the Rfam family "Bacterial small subunit ribosomal RNA", at positions 32 to 507 of the family's 1533-position model. The record is from RNAcentral.
AAUCAACGCUGGCGGCGUGCCUCAGACAUGCAAGUCGAACGAUUAAACUUCCCUUUGGGGCAGAUAUAGAGUGGCGCACGGGUGAGUAACACGUAGGUAUUGUACCUCUGGGUGGGGAAUAACUUAGGGAAACUUAAGCUAAUACCGCAUAAUGCAUCGGCUCCUUCGGGAGUCAGUUGUUAAAGAUUUAUUGCCUAAAGAGCAGCCUGCGGCAGAUUAGCUAGUUGGUAAGGUAACGGCUUACCAAGGCUCCGAUCUGUAACCGACCUGAGAGGGUGGUCGCACACACUGACACUGAAUAACGGUACAGACUCCUACGGAAGGCAGCAGUCGGGAAUUUUGGACAAUGGGCGGAAGCCUGACGCAGCAACGCCGCGUGAAGGCUGAAAUCUUUCAAGAUGAAAACUGCAUAAGAAUAGGAAGGAUAUAUGACGAUACAAUCAGUAAGGUCCGGCUAACUACGUG